This 311-nucleotide long non-coding RNA is filed under the name Spirodela polyrhiza (greater duckweed). RNAcentral describes it as "long non-coding RNA (SPOL_LNC000463)". The record is from RNAcentral. Lineage: Eukaryota; Viridiplantae; Streptophyta; Magnoliopsida; Alismatales; Araceae.
GGUAUCUCAUGUGGCCCAGAUCAACAACUGCUGGGUUUUCUCUUUGAAAUCGUUUUAAUGUUGAUCUUAACCCUCCAUUCUUUUGGAGGCUUAAGUAGACCCUUUUCUAUAAAAAGGGUCAGACUUUGGUCGUGAGAGGUUGUUGAUCCAUCCUUUUUCUCCUAUUUGGUCUUCAACAUUUUGAUGUUUCUCUGCAAAGCUUUUGACUUAACUGCCGUUAGAUAUUGAUUACACUCUUUUUAGUUCCUGGCCGUUGCUUGGGUCAGCCGAGAUUUUUGCACAGACGAUUUUGGAGAUCUAGCUUAAUUGGG